GUGAGUGGACGAGGUUGGGUAGCGAGCGGGCAGAAGCGGGGUAGCCUCCAGUCUGUUCCUCGCUCGCCUUGUUCAUAUCAAGUCGUCAUCAUCAUCGUCGUCGUCAUCAUUGUAGUCUUUCUGUGAUUGGUUGGGCCGCAUCGAAGCGAAACUCGAGACCAAAGCGCUUGAGGAAAAGUGGAGAUCGCUGAAACUGUGACGCACUUUCCAGAUAACUUGAGAACGCGAAGGUCGUGUCUGAGGAAAAGGAAAACGAACUCAUGCUAGACAAAAGAGAAGCGAUGUGCGUGAGUUCUUGUGGGUGAUAAACUGAACGCUGUCCCUUCCUUCUGCAUCGCCUACGUCAGACUCCUCGUCCUCCUCCUCCUCCUCGUCCUCGUCCAGCUGCCACGUCUCUCCCCGUUCUCGUCUCGUGGCCUCGGCGAGAUGUGAACGAGUCUCCCUUCUUCGUCCUCUCCUCGUCUGUUGCAAGCUCACGGCCACCAGCCAGC
This is a long non-coding RNA of Eriocheir sinensis (Chinese mitten crab), 491 nucleotides long. RefSeq lists it as uncharacterized. The record is from RefSeq and is a predicted model, not a curated record. The transcript is spliced from 3 exons. NCBI's taxonomy places the organism in Eukaryota, Metazoa, Arthropoda, Malacostraca, Decapoda, Varunidae.